GAUGAAGAACGUAGCGAAAUGCGAUAAGUAGUGUGAAUUGCAGAAUUCAGUGAAUCAUCGAAUCUUUGAACGCACAUUGCGCCCUUUGGUAUUCCUUAGGGCAUGCCUGUUCGAGCGUCAUUUAAACCUUCAAGCUAAGCUUGGUGUUGGGUGACUGUCCGCUUCACGGCGGACUCGCCUCAAAAUUAUUGGCGGCCGGUACAUUGGCUUCGAGCGCAGCAGAAACGCGAACUCGGGCCCGUCGUAUUAGCUCCCAGAAGCUAUCUUCACAAUUUUGACCUCGGAUCAGGUAGGGAUACCCGCUGAACUUAAGCAUAUCAAUAAGCGGAGGA
Molecule: unclassified non-coding RNA, 332 nt
Filed under: soil metagenome
Description: partial contains 5.8S ribosomal RNA, internal transcribed spacer 2, and large subunit ribosomal RNA
Rfam family: 5.8S ribosomal RNA (bases 1-120)
Source: RNAcentral